UUUUAAAAAAAAAAAAAAUUCAUAAAUUGUUUUUAAACAAAGUGAAGAUUCACGAUGACAAAAGGAUACUUGGGAUGUCUUCAGUGCUCUCCCAAAGAUGGCAUCAUUCCCAACAGGGUAAGACAUUUGUUCAUAUUCCCAACAUGAUUGUAUCCUCUUCCUUCAGAGCCUGUUUGUGUUUUCCUCCCGAGCAGAGUGGUUGAGGAAGAUGUU
This 213-nucleotide long non-coding RNA is filed under the name Lathyrus oleraceus (garden pea). RNAcentral describes it as "Pisum sativum (pea) long non-coding RNA (PSAT_LNC036003)". The record is from RNAcentral. Lineage: Eukaryota; Viridiplantae; Streptophyta; Magnoliopsida; Fabales; Fabaceae.